RNAcentral lists this unclassified non-coding RNA (348 nucleotides) under soil metagenome. Its description in RNAcentral is "partial contains 5.8S ribosomal RNA, internal transcribed spacer 2, and large subunit ribosomal RNA". The stretch from base 1 to 120 matches the Rfam family "5.8S ribosomal RNA", at positions 35 to 154 of the family's 154-position model. The record is from RNAcentral.
GAUGAAGAACGCAGCGAAAUGCGAAAAGUAAUGUGAAUUGCAGAAUUCAGUGAACCAUCGAAUCUUUGAACGCACAUUGCGCCCGCUGGAACUCCGGCGGGCACGCCUGUCCGAGCGUCAUUUCAACCCUCAGGCCCCCCUUCGCGGGCGGGCCUGGUGUUGGGGCCCGGCCGCUACCCUGCGGCCGUCCCCUAAAUUCAGUGGCGGCCUCGCCGUGAUCCCUUGCGUAGUAAUGCACCUCGCACCGGAGAGCGCUGUGGCCACGCCGUAAAACCCCCAAUUUUCAAUGGUUGACCUCGGAUCAGGUGGGAAUACCCGCUGAACUUAAGCAUAUCAAUAAGCGGAGGA